Molecule: ribosomal RNA, 439 nt
Filed under: uncultured bacterium
Lineage: Bacteria
Description: bacterial SSU rRNA
Rfam family: Bacterial small subunit ribosomal RNA
Source: RNAcentral
ACGCGAGGAACCUUACCAGGUCUUGACAUCCUCUGACACUCCUAGAGAUAGGACGUUCCCCUUCGGGGGACAGAGUGACAGGUGGUGCAUGGUUGUCGUCAGCUCGUGUCGUGAGAUGUUGGGUUAAGUCCCGCAACGAGCGCAACCCUUGAUCUUAGUUGCCAGCAUUUAGUUGGGCACUCUAAGGUGACUGCCGGUGACAAACCGGAGGAAGGUGGGGAUGACGUCAAAUCAUCAUGCCCCUUAUGACCUGGGCUACACACGUGCUACAAUGGAUGGUACAAAGGGCUGCAAGACCGCGAGGUUUAGCCAAUCCCAUAAAACCAUUCUCAGUUCGGAUUGCAGGCUGCAACUCGCCUGCAUGAAGCUGGAAUCGCUAGUAAUCGCGGAUCAGCAUGCCGCGGUGAAUACGUUCCCGGGCCUUGCACUCACCGCCCGU